Lycium ferocissimum is the source of this 1853-nucleotide long non-coding RNA. RefSeq lists it as uncharacterized. The transcript has 7 exons. NCBI's taxonomy places the organism in Eukaryota, Viridiplantae, Streptophyta, Magnoliopsida, Solanales, Solanaceae. The record is from RefSeq and is a predicted model, not a curated record.
AAAUAGACAAAUAAUGGGAUCAAACUCCAAAGUGAAGUUCACCCACAAAAGAAGCAAAUAUAAGCAAAAUGGUCCAUAACCUUUUAGAAGUAUUCCCAAACGCCCCUUCUCUUUCAUUCUUUAUCCCUUUUCUAUUCCCCAUCAUCUUCAAUUGAACAUAACAACGCCUUCAAAUUCAUAGCAAUUUUCAAAAUAAAAAAUCUGGGUUGCAAUGAAAAGGUCCUUAAUCUUAUUAUUGUCUUGCAUUUUUUUGUUGAGUUCUAUAUAUAUUGCUAAAGCUGAAGUUAUUACUCUUACAGGCGAUACAUUUAAUGAUAAGAUAAACGAGAAGGACACUGCAUGGUUUGUCAAAUUUUGUGUUCCAUAGUGUAAACACUGCAAGAACCUGCGAACACUUUGGGAUGAUGUAGGGAAAGUGAUGGAAAUUAUUAUCUAGAUAGAGGUGGGACAAGUUGAUUGUGGUACAGAUAAGCCAGUGUGUAACAAAGUUGAUAUACAUUCAUACCCUACAUUCAAACUCUUCUACAAUGGAGAAGAAGUCGCAAAGUACCAAGAUUGAAUAUUUAGUGGUCAUGUUUGCCAGCCAUUGCAGAUGUCGACUGCACUCAUACAAAGAAGAUAAGUGUAACUUUUAGUCUUUUCCUAGAGGCUGAGAUGUCAUCUAUGGAAUUUCUCACUAACAUACAAGAGGGCUGGUAUAGCCGUCCAUGAAGAGGAAAUUGAUUCAAUACAUAUCUAAUCACAGUGUGUUGUUAGCAGAUUGUCAUACAGUCUCAAAUCAGUAGUGGAGGUGCGUCAAGUUUUUAAGGAUGAGCCCUUCAUGAAACCCAGUCUUGAAGACAUGAAGAACACCGUUGUGGUACCCUCAUAGCUUCUGCUUCUAAGGGAAAAGUUAAAGGCUACCCAAUUUGGGGUAAUCCAAAGCAUUCUUAAAUGAGAAUUUUACCUCCCCCUUCUGCAUUCCUGAGCAUUGUGAAUUCAAAAGCUUUAGGUAAUUAACUUGUGUGUGGAAUUCAAAAGAGCUGCAAAUUUGUGCCAAUAUGCUUGAGGGAUUUUGCUAAUUACAAAAUGGUUGAUUAUUGCAGGCUUUACCUCUUUCAAAGCUGUGAACUUAGAAUGUUUUAAGUGAUCAACAUAUGCCAGAUCAUUGGAAAUUUGAGACUUGGAGAUGCCUAUUUCAAGCUUGAAAAGGAGCUGAGAAACUUUGUUAUAUCAUGUAUCACUCCUUUGUCUAUAUUGGUUUACAUGAUUUGCUAUAAUUAGGACACUAGUUUUGCACAAAAUCUCUGAUUUUCAAGACUCUUUUUUUAAUGUGAUAUCUUUGAUACAAGGUUUACUCUUUCUUGAGGUUAACAUAAUUCCCUGGCUUGGCUUCUAUUAUGGCAUUCUCCCUUGUCCUGGGUAACGGAACAAGUAACUGCGCAGAAGCACCAGCUAUGCUCUUUGGAAUGUCAUGGUGUCUGGAUAAUGGUCACAGCAAUAUCAUGGCUGAAGGUGAUUCGAAACUGAUAGUGGACAGCAUCAUUAAUUCUAAAAGCAUCCGCUGAGAAUUUUUAAGGAAGUCCAAAAGCUGAAAGAGCUUCUCCAACAGACCACUUCAACAUUAAGCACUGCUUUAGGGAAAUAAACCAAGUGGCGGACAAACUAGCAUCCCUGGUUCCAGAUGAUAUUUGAACUAUGCAGAUGGCCAUGGACAAAUGGGGCUACCAGCUAUAAAGAUAUCUAGAAGGAAGAAAAAGAAUUGGUCCUUGAUCCACCUUAAUUCCUUGUAUCACUCUCUUUCUAUAGGCUAGAUACUUUAACGUUUAGGAUAUGGAUAUUCAUACAUAUUCUUGUCCCUCUUGCAUUUACCA